GAUUGAUGAGAGUGAUGAGAGGAAGAGAGAUGGGGUGAGUUAGAGAUAGGGGUCGUGGUCAUUUCUCUGGCGCCCGAGACCCAUUUGUAGGGUCAGUGGGUCUGCUGCUUUUAUUGCUUUCUUUGUCCUUUUCACCUUUUCAUCUCUCUUCCUGCCCUUUUUAUCUCCUUGUUUUCCUUGCUCGUUUCUCAUUCACCAUGAUCAUACAGACCCAUCUCUCUCUUUCUCUCCCCCCUUAACUCUUUAUAUCUUUCGCCUCUCUCACAAUCUGUUUGGUUUAGAGGUCCUUUUUCUUGAGUAAAUAAAUAAGGGCGGUCUAGAGUUUGCUUAGGUUAAUUAGGUUUUUGAUUGAGAAAGAGGGGGGAAAAUAGAAAUGGAAGCUAUUUCUUUUGAGGGGAAUGUUGUCUGGCUCGAGGUCACUAAUGGGAUCUAUGAUUUUAUCUCAAUUGAUUGAUUUUCUUUCAAAUUCUAGUAAAUUGAAUUGAGAGAGAUCAUGAUCAACUUAUAUUUAAUGAUGUCGGACCAGGCUUCAUUCCCCCCAAUUAUUUCUUCCUUUCAAAUCGUUGAUCACUACAAUUAACUUCCCUUCCAUUUUUGGUCUGGAUCUAAAAGGUGAGAGUUAGUAUUUUGUAAAUUUUAUCUUGUUAUUUUCUGUAUGUAUAUUUCUGUGCACAUGUGUGUUUAUUUGUUUUAAAUUGAUUUUGGAAUGUUUUUGUGCAUGGGUUUUUUGGUCAAUAGAAAAACUCUAAUUCUUUUGAGCAUGAGCUCGCAGAUUGGUGUAAUGAUGAGGGAUUUUGACUACCUUUUCUUUUGUUUUCUCCUUCUUUUAUGACUGAAAGAGGAGGAUGGAUCUUCAUCAUUACUCUUUUAUAUUUUAUCCCUAAAUUUUAUGGAUCAGGGUUUUAUGUUUCCUUGUCAGUCUAUCUAGCUAACUCUUCCAUCUUCAUCAUUGAACUAGUUUUUCUCAUGAUGGCUCCAAGAAUCUUAUCUGUCUGUUUCUGGUCCUUACUGAUCUACACUCUAAUUGGCUUCUUUUGCCCACUUCAACUACCACAAACCUCUAGGGUUUCAUCAUAAUGAGCUUACCUUAUUAGCCCACAGUUACUUUCUUAUUCGAUAUGUAUAUAUGUUUUGUCAUUUUUCUUUCCCCUAUGCUAUCUCAUUUAACUAGAAAAUAAGAUCAAAAUGUGUAUUAUACAAAGUUUUUUUUUUUUUUUUUGUAUAAUAAGUCAUAACUGCUUUAAUUGGCAUCAGAUGGUUGUAUACUUGUCUCUUCAUCUUUCUGUGCCACUUUUGAGAGUGGUAGUGGGUGGUAAUCUCCUCUCCUCUCCUCUCCUUUUUGUUUUGUUUCUGCUUUUUCUUUAUCUUAUGGUUACCUUUAUGUUAAAGCUUAGAUCUGUGCCCUUUGGUCAACUCAUGUCCUUUGCAUGCUUGAAGAGAUCAUGGGCUACACCCAGCUGUUGCAUACGUAUGGAAAGUAGCUAGCUAGGGUUCCGUCCUUGAAUUUCCAUAACUUUUUUCUUAUGUAAUGUAGCUUAUAUUUGUAAGAUAAUUUGAUCCUUUGCUAAAACAAUUUAGUUUUCUUAUGUGAGUCAUUUGCUAGCGUGAAGCUUCUUCCAUUACCUUAGAGAGAGGUGGAAGAAUGAUUAAUCUUUCAACUUGCUAUAUAUGCUGAUCCAUCUAUUACUUGAAGUGAAACCCUGUUAUAACCUCUCUGGCUUGUCCAUAAACUAUGCUGUGGUUCUGAGCAUUUCACUCUAAAGAAGAGAAUAUGAUGUGAUGGACUGGACCUUUGAUUUUGCUUGACCAUGCAGUCUUCUUCUGCCAUACAUGAGCAGCAACUUGUAGUUUUGGAAUCAAAGCUUUUGCUCCUGUCUUCUCUAAAAAGCUAGAAAUCUAAAUUCCUAACAUUCGAGGGGGGGACUUUGAUAUGCUUUACACUGAGUUACUCUGUGGACUGUUCUUUGAGUUGCACAUUCGCUUCAUACAAACCCAGAUUCUUCAGGGAGCAACUUCGAUUUGCAAUUGGUAUUUUGCCUUGAAAGUGUUUCGAUUCUUGGAAAAUGGAGGUUUUCAAUUUGCGCUUCCUCGAGCUGGUGGAUACAUAAACUGCAUUUCUUGGAAUUCAUUUUUGUUGACUAGUGUUUUCUGGUUUUGAUUUUCUAAGCCCUCAAAGUAUGUGUCUAGCUGAGAGAGUGAGAGGGAGAGGGAGAGUUCAUUACCCAAAACCUGAGUUCUUCAUCUCCCAAAAACAACAAUAAAUAAAUAAAAAUAGAACAAAAAAUUCAUGUUGCCCAAGACAUAAUGAGUUCCUCCAACCCAACACAGAGCUAGUACGAAACAAAAAUACUGCUAUGUGUAUAUCUAAUUAAUUAAUUAUUAUUAUUCUUAUUACUA
This is a long non-coding RNA of Populus nigra (black poplar), 2397 nucleotides long. RefSeq lists it as uncharacterized. The transcript has 2 exons. NCBI's taxonomy places the organism in Eukaryota, Viridiplantae, Streptophyta, Magnoliopsida, Malpighiales, Salicaceae. The record is from RefSeq and is a predicted model, not a curated record.